This 452-nucleotide ribosomal RNA is filed under the name Hoylesella oralis. Its description in RNAcentral is "bacterial SSU rRNA". It matches the Rfam family "Bacterial small subunit ribosomal RNA", at positions 28 to 465 of the family's 1533-position model. Lineage: Bacteria; Pseudomonadati; Bacteroidota; Bacteroidia; Bacteroidales; Prevotellaceae. The record is from RNAcentral.
GAUGAACGCUAGCUACAGGCUUAACACAUGCAAGUCGCGGGGCAUCAUGGAGGUUGCUUGCAAUUUCUGAUGGCGACCGGCGCACGGGUGAGUAACGCGUAUCCAACCUUCCCAUUACUACGGCAUACCCCGUUGAGAGGCGGCCUAAUUCCGUAUGCAGUCCGAAGCAGUCAUCUAAUUUGGACGAAAGGUAUAUUCUAUCGGUAAUGGAUGGGGAUGCGUCCGAUUAGCCAGCCGGCGGGGUAACGGCCCACCGGGGCAUUGAUCGGUAGGGGUUCUGAGAGGAAGGUCCCCCACACUGGAACUGAGACACGGUCCAGACUCCUACGGGAGGCAGCAGUGAGGAAUAUUGGUCAAUGGGCGUAAGCCUGAACCAGCCAAGUAGCGUGCAGGAUGACGGCCCUAUGGGUUGUAAACUGCUUUUAUGCGGGGAUAAAAGUUGGGGACGUGUC